UUUUCUCUACGUGAAUAUCUCCACUGUUUCCCUCUGCAGUGUUACGGCGGUAAAAGCUCCUCACUCCCCCCACAAAUCCAACGGUUCCCCCCCGCUCCGUUCCCGCACUUGGUACGGUCCGAACUGCCUCGCACGAAGGGGCGGCAAUGGCAAGAGUCCCGUGUCUCGCUCUGAUUGGCCCGCCCGCGCGGAGCUCAGCCUAUCAGAAAUGCCUUCUCUUUCCCUCUUGCUUUUGAUUGGUUGUCACCACCCUCACGUCCCGCCUUCACACGUUUGACAGACUGCAAAGCGUGAAGCAGAGGGGUAGAGCAGGUGGCUUCACCUUUUCGCGCUUUUGAUUGGUCGGUGGGGCGGGCAAGCGGCCAAUAGAAGGUGGUGCUCACUGAGGGGGCGGGGCUAACUUUCGUCCCGCCCAUCGCGCUGAGGAGGAGGGCGGGGGAGGGAAAAAGGCGGGAAGGGCGGCUGGGGGGUUGUGUGCUGCUCUGAGGAAAAUUGUUUUUUUCUCCGUUUUCUGAGGGAAGAAAUGGGGCGUCACGAGCUCCUGCACCCAACAGAUGGCAUCUAUCAGAGCCCUUUGGACCCCUCCGAGAUUUAAGUGUCUGAAAGCAGACUUUAUCCCUUCGGAAGCACAGAUCUCAGCUCCACCUUCACAGCACUUUGGAUCCUUUCACUUUUCACUACAAAUAUGUACAUGAAUCUUAUCUUUUUCACCUUAAAUGUCCUCCUCAGGUGCAUUUUGAGGGGUUUUAGGGGUUUUUAAUGGGUGUUGAGCUCGUUAGGGCUGAUUGAGGUGGGGGGAGUGUCUAUUGUUGGUGGGGGUACAGAUGGUGGUAAAAAGUUUUGGGGCAAAAUGGGGGGAAAUGGGGUAAA
Phasianus colchicus (ring-necked pheasant) is the source of this 870-nucleotide non-coding RNA. The record is from RefSeq and is a predicted model, not a curated record. Lineage: Eukaryota; Metazoa; Chordata; Aves; Galliformes; Phasianidae.